Molecule: long non-coding RNA, 339 nt
Organism: Tripterygium wilfordii
Lineage: Eukaryota; Viridiplantae; Streptophyta; Magnoliopsida; Celastrales; Celastraceae
Exons: 4
Source: RefSeq, a predicted model, not a curated record
GAAUCAAGGAGGAAGAAGCUUGACUUGAAGAUUUUGGACUUUCUAAAGCUUGGUUUUCAAGAUUUCUUCAAGAUUGAGAUUUGAGCUUGGAUUGAAGUGUGGAGAUAGGAGGAGAGGUGGUUGUCCUAGGGUUUGAAGAUUUGGGCAAGGUUGAUUGGGCUUGGAAGAGUUGUGGUGCUUGGCCAAAAAGAGGUGAUAUAGGUACUAGCGCUAGUGCUCCGACUACGGAUCAGCAAGGAGGAGCGUGACGCGGAUGGCCUAGACUUGUGGUGGUUUGUUGUUUUAUUUUGUGUGGUGUUGGUUAGUCUUUGGCUUAAUGAUAUAUUAGGAUAUAUACAA